UUUUAUUUUUCUUUGGACAGGAAAGAUAAACUAAAAGGACUACACGUCAAUUGAUAGUGCUUUCAUAAGAAGCCAUAAAAUUCAACAGCGAUAAUUGGUAACUGAAAUAUUGUGAAUAUUAAAGCUGUGGUGAUUUACUUUUAAUUAAUUGGCUACAUGGC
RNAcentral lists this non-coding RNA (161 nucleotides) under unclassified sequences. RNAcentral describes it as "RT-16 RNA". It matches the Rfam family "RT-16 RNA". Rfam says of the family: candidate division DUSEL4 (Archaea). Nearby to self-splicing intron genes The record is from Rfam by way of RNAcentral.